RNAcentral lists this ribosomal RNA (507 nucleotides) under uncultured bacterium. RNAcentral describes it as "partial 16S ribosomal RNA". It matches the Rfam family "Bacterial small subunit ribosomal RNA", at positions 28 to 523 of the family's 1533-position model. The record is from RNAcentral.
GACGAACGCUGGCGGCGUGCUUAACACAUGCAAGUCGAACGAGAAAGCCCUUCGGGGUAAGUACAGUGGCGAACGGGUGAGUAACACGUGGGCAACCUGCCCCAGAGAGCGGGACAACCCGGGGAAACCCGGGCUAAUACCGCAUGAUGCGUCUCCACUUAAGUGGAGCCGCCAAAUGGUAGCUUCGGCCUCCGCUCUGGGAUGGGCCCGCGCCGGAUUAGCUAGUUGGUUGGGGUAAUGGCCCACCAAGGCGACGAUCCGUAGCUGGUCUGGAAGGGCGGUCAGCCGCACGGGGACUGAGACACGGCCCAGGCUCCAAUGGGAGGGAGCAGUGGGGAAUCUUGCGCAAUGGGCGAAAGCCUGACGCAGCAACGCCGCGUGGGGGAAGAAGGCCUUCGGGUUGUAAACCUCUUUCAGUAGGGACGAAGCUUCCGGGGUUAAUAGCCUACGGGGUGACGGUACCUACAGAAGAAGCCCCGGCUAACUACGUGCCAGCAGCCGCCGUAA